Labeo rohita (rohu) is the source of this 162-nucleotide long non-coding RNA. RefSeq lists it as uncharacterized. The transcript is spliced from 2 exons. Lineage: Eukaryota; Metazoa; Chordata; Actinopteri; Cypriniformes; Cyprinidae. The record is from RefSeq and is a predicted model, not a curated record.
AAAUACAUCAUCAGAUUGUGCUACCAGUGCAAAAUAAACAGGUAGCAUGAUUUUACAGUGCAAAAAAAUGUCAUCAGAUUGUGCUACCAAUGCAAAAAAACAGGUAGGAUGAUUUUACAGUGCAAAAUACCUCAUCAGAUUGUGCUACCAGUGCAAAAUAAA